Molecule: ribosomal RNA, 728 nt
Filed under: uncultured bacterium
Lineage: Bacteria
Description: bacterial SSU rRNA
Rfam family: Bacterial small subunit ribosomal RNA
Source: RNAcentral
GUCGAGGGGCAGCGGGGUUGUAGCAAUACAACUGCCGGCGACCGGCGCACGGGUGAGUAACACGUAUGUAACCUGCCCUCUGCAGGGGGAUAAGCGGAAGAAAUUCCGUCUAAUACCGCAUAAUACAAUUUGGAGACAUCUCCGGGUUGUCAAAGGAGUGAUCCGGCAGAGGAUGGACAUGCGGCGCAUUAGCUAGUCGGCGGGGUAACGGCCCACCGAGGCUACGAUGCGUAGGGGUUCUGAGAGGAAGGUCCCCCACACUGGUACUGAGACACGGACCAGACUCCUACGGGAGGCAGCAGUGAGGAAUAUUGGUCAAUGGGCGGAAGCCUGAACCAGCCAAGUCGCGUGAGGGAAGACGGUCCUAUGGAUUGUAAACCUCUUUUGCAGGGGAGCAAGGCGCGGUACGUGUACCGCGAAGGAGAGUACCCUGAGAAAAAGCAUCGGCUAACUCCGUGCCAGCAGCCGCGGUAAUACGGAGGAUGCGAGCGUUAUCCGGAUUUAUUGGGUUUAAAGGGUGCGCAGGCGGACUGUUAAGUCAGCGGUAAAAUGUCGGUGCUCAACACCGGCCGGCCGUUGAAACUGGCAGCCUUGAGUGAGCGAGAAGUAUGCGGAAUGCGUGGUGUAGCGGUGAAAUGCAUAGAUAUCACGCAGAACUCCGAUUGCGAAGGCAGCAUACCGGCGCUCAACUGACGCUCAGGCACGAAAGCGUGGGUAUCGAACAGGCU